GAAUGUUGUGAAAGAUUGGCAUACUAUGGGAUCAACACCAAUCUAGUUAAUUAUCUCAAAUUUCAACUGAACCAGAGCAGUGUUGUGGCAAUCAAUAAUGUUACAAAUUGGUCAGGCACGUGCUAUGUCAUGCCAUUGCUUGGAGCUUUUCUAGCUGAUGCCUACUUGGGAAGAUAUUGGACAAUAGCUAGUUUCUCUAUCAUCUACGUCGUUGGCAUGACAUUGUUAAC
Molecule: unclassified non-coding RNA, 230 nt
Filed under: Hevea brasiliensis (rubber tree)
Lineage: Eukaryota; Viridiplantae; Streptophyta; Magnoliopsida; Malpighiales; Euphorbiaceae
Source: RNAcentral